CCUACGGGGGGCAGCAGUGAGGAAUAUUGGUCAAUGGACGAGAGUCUGAACCAGCCAAGUAGCGUGAAGGAUGACUGCCCUAUGGGUUGUAAACUUCUUUUAUAAAGGAAUAAAACGAGGCACGUGUGCCUUUUUGCAUGUACUUUAUGAAUAAGGAUCGGCUAACUCCGUGCCAGCAGCCGCGGUAAUACGGAGGAUCCGAGCGUUAUCCGGAUUUAUUGGGUUUAAAGGGAGCGUAGAUGGGUUGUUAAGUCAGUUGUGAAAGUUUGCGGCUCAACCGUAAAAUUGCAAGUGAUACUGGCAGUCGUGAGUACAGUUGAGGUAGGCGGAAUUCGUGGUGUAGCGGUGAAAUGCUUAGAUAUCACGAAGAACCCCGAGUGCGAAGGCAGCUUACUAAACUGUGACUGACAUUGAUGCUCGAAAGUGUGGGUAUCAAACAGGAUUAGAUACCCGAGUAGUC
Molecule: ribosomal RNA, 460 nt
Filed under: uncultured bacterium
Lineage: Bacteria
Description: partial 16S ribosomal RNA
Rfam family: Bacterial small subunit ribosomal RNA
Source: RNAcentral